AGCAGAACAAAGCUUCAAUAAAGAGAUAUUGUGACUUGGAGAGACGGCCUUUUGUCCUUUGUUCUAUUACCGGUCAGAGGAUGGGGAGCACAUCCAAACCUGAGACAACAGCUUUGCUAAGUGCCCUUGAGAGGGCACGGUGGGGUCAGCACCAAAGCCAGACCACUAAAGAGAAAAAGAAAGAAAGACAGGAUUGCAGAGGAGUAAUGAGAAUGGCAGAAAAAAUAAUUUUUUAAGCCAAAAGGAAUCAGAGAAGAGCAGAAGUGCCUCUAGGAUAAAGCGUAGCAGGCAGUUAGGGAAAACGGGCUGUUAACUAACUUGAAUCUCUGACUACGUUAGAAAGCCUCGCAAGACAGUCGUUGCUUGCACGGGCAGGUAGAGAACUUUUCCUGUCCAUUGUUCUUCUGAAUUAUAAAUCACUGACCUCUUUAUGAUUUCCAAAGGGAAAAUGACUUCAAGCUUCUUAGAGUUCCCCUAAGGCAUUCUCUAUAUUCAAUAUAAUAUGGGAAGCCCUGGGUUUGUCUUUGUAUGUUUCAUCUGCAGUGACCUGAAAUCUUCAUAACCCUCUUCCUUUCUCUACUUAUCAAGUAAGGGGUGGUUGGCAAUAAGGAUGGGUGGGAGAGAAAAAAACCCAGAAUUUGAGGAGGAGAGCAUUUAAACCAUCAGACUGUGUGUUCUGUGACAUCAAAGACUGGCAACAUUCUAAAGGAGAAGCAGCUGUGAAGUCAUAAUUAUGUUCACUUCCCACUGGCAACUGGCAAGCCCUUUAUUUUUGUGCAUUCGGAACUCACCAAGAAUAAAUAAAGUCCAUUCCCUCCUUGAGGGGCUAUUCUGCCAUUCCAUCUAGGAUUUAAAAGUUUGCCAAUUCCUAAAACAUCUAUUGUUAUAAAUAGUCUUGUGUCUUUCACAAAGCGGACUUUACAAAAUAAGAUGCCAUGUCCAGCCAAAUAAAUGAGACUGAACUUCAUGGUUGUUGUUUUUAUUUCAUCCCGGUCAAAAGAAAUGAAAUUAAAUAUAAAAAGCAGAUGACCAAAUAAAGUCCAA
RNAcentral lists this long non-coding RNA (1044 nucleotides) under Pongo abelii (Sumatran orangutan). RNAcentral's name for it is "lincRNA". The record is from RNAcentral. Lineage: Eukaryota; Metazoa; Chordata; Mammalia; Primates; Hominidae.